CAGUCGCCGCGGUAACACGGAGGGAGCUAGCGUUAUUCGGAAUUACUGGGCGUAAAGCGCACGUAGGCGGCUUGUAAGUAAGAGGUGAAAGCCCAGAGCUCAACUCUGGAAUUGCCUUUUAGACUGCAUCGCUUGAAUCAUGGAGAGGUCAGUGGAAUUCCGAGUGUAGAGGUGAAAUUCGUAGAUAUUCGGAAGAACACCAGUGGCGAAGGCGGCUGACUGGACAUGUAUUGACGCUGAGGUGCGAAAGCGUGGGGAGCAAACAGGAUUAGAGACCCCAGUAGUCCCUGUCUCUUAUACA
This 301-nucleotide ribosomal RNA is filed under the name uncultured bacterium. RNAcentral's name for it is "partial 16S ribosomal RNA". It matches the Rfam family "Bacterial small subunit ribosomal RNA", at positions 509 to 808 of the family's 1533-position model. The record is from RNAcentral.